GUGUUUUCUGAGCGCUCUGGGUUUUGGCUGUGGACUGGAAUCAUGGCACAGGGGGAGUCACGGCACGGGGGGAGUCACGGCACGGGGGGGAGUCACGGCACGGGGGGGGGGUCACGGCACAGGGGGAAUCACGAGAUACCCAUGUUGCAGUCGGCGGAGCCUGUGAAUGUCCCUUCCACGGACCCUGCAGGUGGGCUCAGCGAAGGGCCUGAAGAUGGGAGCUGACUGUCCUGGGGGGUCCACUGGAAUCGCAGAG
RNAcentral lists this long non-coding RNA (256 nucleotides) under Homo sapiens (human). RNAcentral describes it as "non-protein coding lnc-SNTG2-8:2". Lineage: Eukaryota; Metazoa; Chordata; Mammalia; Primates; Hominidae. The record is from RNAcentral.